RNAcentral lists this ribosomal RNA (467 nucleotides) under uncultured bacterium. RNAcentral's name for it is "partial 16S ribosomal RNA". It matches the Rfam family "Bacterial small subunit ribosomal RNA", at positions 28 to 507 of the family's 1533-position model. The record is from RNAcentral.
GACGAACGCUGGCGGCGUGCUUAACACAUGCAAGUCGAACGGAAAGGCCCUGCUUUUGUGGGGUGCUCGAGUGGCGAACGGGUGAGUAACACGUGAGUAACCUGCCCUUGACUUUGGGAUAACUUCAGGAAACUGGGGCUAAUACCGGAUAGGAGCUCCUGCUGCAUGGUGGGGGUUGGAAAGUUUCGGCGGUUGGGGAUGGACUCGCGGCUUAUCAGCUUGUUGGUGGGGUAGUGGCUUACCAAGGCUUUGACGGGUAGCCGGCCUGAGAGGGUGACCGGCCCCAUGGGGGGGGGGGAGCGGCCCGCACCCUUCGGGGGGGAGGAGGGGGGGAUAUUGCGCAAUGGGGGGGAGGCUGAUGGAGCAACGCCGCGUGCGGGGUGACGGCCUUCGGGUUGUAAACCGCUUUCGCCUGUGACGAAGCGUGAGUGACGGUAAUGGGUAAAGAAGCACCGGCUAACUACGUG